UACGUAGGGCGCAAGCGUUGUCCGGAAUUAUUGGGCGUAAAGAGCUCGUAGGCGGCUUGUCACGUCGGGUGUGAAAGCCCGGGGCUUAACCCCGGGUCUGCAUUCGAUACGGGCUAGCUAGAGUGUGGUAGGGGAGAUCGGAAUUCCUGGUGUAGCGGUGAAAUGCGCAGAUAUCAGGGGGAACACCGGUGGCGAAGGCGGGUCUCUGGGCAACAACUGACGCUGAGGAGCGAAAGCGUGGGGAGCGAACAGG
RNAcentral lists this ribosomal RNA (253 nucleotides) under uncultured bacterium. Its description in RNAcentral is "partial 16S ribosomal RNA". It matches the Rfam family "Bacterial small subunit ribosomal RNA", at positions 524 to 776 of the family's 1533-position model. The record is from RNAcentral.